AAAGCGUGCGCAGGCGGUUAUAUAAGACAGAUGUGAAAUCCCCGGGCUCAACCUGGGACCUGCAUUUGUGACUGUAUAGCUAGAGUACGGUAGAGGGGGAUGGAAUUCCGCGUGUAGCAGUGAAAUGCGUAGAUAUGCGGAGGAACACAGAUGGCGAAGGCAAUCCCCUGGACCUGUACUGACGCUCAUGCACGAAAGCGUGGGGAGCAAACAGGAUUAGAUACCCCUGU
RNAcentral lists this ribosomal RNA (230 nucleotides) under uncultured bacterium. RNAcentral describes it as "partial 16S ribosomal RNA". It matches the Rfam family "Bacterial small subunit ribosomal RNA", at positions 562 to 791 of the family's 1533-position model. The record is from RNAcentral.